AAACGUAGGAGACAAGCGUUAUCCGGAGUUACUGGGCGUAAAGGGCGUGUAGGCGGCCUUCUAAGUGGGUUGUGAAAGCGACUGGCUCAACCGGUCGAGGCCGACCCAGACUGGGAAGCUAGAGGGCGGUAGAGGGGUGUGGAAUUCCGGGUGUAGUGGUGAAAUGCGUAGAGAUCCGGAGGAACACCAGAGGCGAAGGCGACACUCUAGGCCGCACCUGACGCUGAGACGCGAAAGCGUGGGUAGC
RNAcentral lists this ribosomal RNA (247 nucleotides) under uncultured bacterium. RNAcentral's name for it is "partial 16S ribosomal RNA". It matches the Rfam family "Bacterial small subunit ribosomal RNA", at positions 523 to 769 of the family's 1533-position model. The record is from RNAcentral.